Molecule: ribosomal RNA, 429 nt
Filed under: Chloroflexota bacterium
Lineage: Bacteria; Bacillati; Chloroflexota
Description: Chloroflexi bacterium partial 16S ribosomal RNA
Rfam family: Bacterial small subunit ribosomal RNA
Source: RNAcentral
UGGGGAAUAUUGCACAAUGGGCGCAAGCCUGAUGCAGCCAUGCCGCGUGUAUGAAGAAGGCCUUCGGGUUGUAGAGUACUUUCAGCGGGGAGGAAGGGAGUAAAGUUAAUACCUUUGCUCAUUGACGUUACCCGCAGAAGAAGCACCGGCUAACUCCGUGCCAGCAGCCGCGGUAAUACGGAGGGUGCAAGCGUUAAUCGGAAUUACUGGGCGUAAAGCGCACGCAGGCGGUUUGUUAAGUCAGAUGUGAAAUCCUCGGGCUCAACCUGGGAACUGCAUCUGAUACUGGCAAGCUUGAGUCUCGUAGAGGGGGGUAGAAUUCCAGGUGUAGCGGUGAAAUGCGUAGAGAUCUGGAGGAAUACCGGUGGCGAAGGCGGCCCCCUGGACGAAGACUGACGCUCAGGUGCGAAAGCGUGGGGAGCAAACAGG